UACAGAGGUCCCAAGCGUUGUUCGGAUUCACUGGGCGUAAAGGGUGCGUAGGCGGUCGGGUAAGUCUGAUGUGAAAAUCUCACAGCUUAACUGUGAAACUGCAUUGGAUACUAUCCGGCUCGAGGAAUGGAGGGGGGACUGGAAUACUUGGUGUAGCAGUGAAAUGCGUAGAUAUCAAGUGGAACACCAGUGGCGAAGGCGAGUCUCUGGACAUUUCCUGACGCUGAGGCACGAAAGCCAGGGGGAGCAAACGGG
Molecule: ribosomal RNA, 255 nt
Filed under: uncultured bacterium
Lineage: Bacteria
Description: partial 16S ribosomal RNA
Rfam family: Bacterial small subunit ribosomal RNA
Source: RNAcentral